CAGCAGCAGCCGCGGUAAUACGGAGGGGGUUAGCGUUGUUCGGAAUUACUGGGCGUAAAGCGCACGUAGGCGGCUUGGUAAGUUAGAGGUGAAAGCCUGGAGCUCAACUCCAGAAUUGCCUUUAAGACUGCCGAGCUAGCAGGUGAGAGAGGUAAGUGGAAUUCCGAGUGUAGAGGUGAAAUUCGUAGAUAUUCGGAAGAACACCAGUGGCGAAGGCGGCUUACUGGCUCAUACUGGACGCUGAGGUGCGAAAGCGUGGGGAGCAAACAGGAUUAGAUACCCCUGUAGUCCCUGUCUCUUAUAC
Molecule: ribosomal RNA, 304 nt
Filed under: uncultured bacterium
Lineage: Bacteria
Description: partial 16S ribosomal RNA
Rfam family: Bacterial small subunit ribosomal RNA
Source: RNAcentral